This 253-nucleotide ribosomal RNA is filed under the name uncultured bacterium. RNAcentral's name for it is "partial 16S ribosomal RNA". It matches the Rfam family "Bacterial small subunit ribosomal RNA", at positions 524 to 776 of the family's 1533-position model. The record is from RNAcentral.
UACGUAGGGUGCAAGCGUUAAUCGGAAUUACUGGGCGUAAAGCGUGCGCAGGCGGUUUUGUAAGUCAGAUGUGAAAUCCCCGAGCUCAACUUGGGAACUGCGUUUGAAACUGCAAGACUAGAAUAUGUCAGAGGGGGGUAGAAUUCCACGUGUAGCAGUGAAAUGCGUAGAGAUGUGGAGGAAUACCAAUGGCGAAGGCAGCCCCCUGGGAUAAUAUUGACGCUCAUGCACGAAAGCGUGGGGAGCGAACAGG